This 460-nucleotide ribosomal RNA is filed under the name uncultured bacterium. Its description in RNAcentral is "partial 16S ribosomal RNA". It matches the Rfam family "Bacterial small subunit ribosomal RNA", at positions 338 to 795 of the family's 1533-position model. The record is from RNAcentral.
CCUACGGGUGGCAGCAGUGAGGAAUAUUGGUCAAUGGACGAGAGUCUGAACCAGCCAAGUAGCGUGAAGGAUGACUGCCCUAUGGGUUGUAAACUUCUUUUAUAUGGGAAUAAAACGUUCCACGUGUGGGAUUUUGUAUGUACCAUAUGAAUAAGGAUCGGCUAACUCCGUGCCAGCAGCCGCGGUAAUACGGAGGAUCCGAGCGUUAUCCGGAUUUAUUGGGUUUAAAUGGAGCGUAGGUGGAUUGUUAAGUCAGUUGUGAAAGUUUGCGGCUCAACCGUAAAAUUGCAGUUGAAACUGGCAGUCUUGAGUACAGUAGAGGUGGGCGGAAGUCGUGGUGUAGCGGUGAAAUGCUUAGAUAUCACGAAGAACUCCGAUUGCGAAGGCAGUUCACUGGACUGCAACUGACACUGAGGCUCGAAAGUGUGGGUAUCAAACAGGAUUAGAUACCCUGGUAGUC